RNAcentral lists this ribosomal RNA (488 nucleotides) under uncultured organism. RNAcentral describes it as "bacterial SSU rRNA". It matches the Rfam family "Bacterial small subunit ribosomal RNA", at positions 30 to 507 of the family's 1533-position model. The record is from RNAcentral.
AUUGAACGCUGGCGGUAUGCUUAACACAUGCAAGUCGAACGGUAACAGCAGAGCUUGCUCUGGCUGACGAGUGGCGGACGGGUGAGUAACGCGUAGGAAUCUGCCUAGUAGUGGGGGACAACAUGGAGAAAUCCGUGCUAAUACCGCAUACGCCCUACGGGGGAAAGAUGGCCUCUUCUUGAAAGCUAUCACUAUUAGAUGAGCCUGCGUCGGAUUAGCUUGUUGGUGAGGUAAUGGCUCACCAAGGCAUCGAUCCGUAGCUGGUCUGAGAGGACGAUCAGCCACACUGGGACUGAGACACGGCCCAGACUCCUACGGGAGGCAGCAGUGGGGAAUAUUGGACAAUGGGCGCAAGCCUGAUCCAGCAAUACCGCGUGUGUGAAGAAGGCCUGCGGGUUGUAAAGCACUUUCAAUUGUGAAGAAAAGCCUGGUGCUAAUAUCACCGGGUCUUGACGUUAACUUUAGAAGAAGCACCGGCUAACUCCGUG